This 429-nucleotide ribosomal RNA is filed under the name Chloroflexota bacterium. RNAcentral describes it as "Chloroflexi bacterium partial 16S ribosomal RNA". It matches the Rfam family "Bacterial small subunit ribosomal RNA", at positions 355 to 776 of the family's 1533-position model. The record is from RNAcentral. Lineage: Bacteria; Bacillati; Chloroflexota.
UGGGGAAUAUUGCACAAUGGGCGCAAGCCUGAUGCAGCCAUGCCGCGUGUAUGAAGAAGGCCUUCGGGUUGUAAAGUACUUUCAGCGGGGAGGAAGGGAGUAAAGUUAAUACCUUUGCUCAUUGACGUUACCCGCAGAAGAAGCACCGGCUAACUCCGUGCCAGCAGCCGCGGUAAUACGGAGGGUGCAAGCGUUAAUCGGAAUUACUGGGCGUAAAGCGCACGCAGGCGGUUUGUUAAGUCAGAUGUGAAAUCCCCGGCCUCAACCUGGGAACUGCAUCUGAUACUGGCAAGCUUGAGUCUCGUAGAGGGGGGUAGAAUUCCAGGUGUAGCGGUGAAAUGCGUAGAGAUCUGGAGGAAUACCGGUGGCGAAGGUGGCCCCCUGGACGAAGACUGACGCUCAGGUGCGAAAGCGUGGGGAGCAAACAGG